Molecule: RNA transcript, 3024 nt
Organism: Tyto alba (common barn owl)
Lineage: Eukaryota; Metazoa; Chordata; Aves; Strigiformes; Tytonidae
Exons: 2
Source: RefSeq, a predicted model, not a curated record
GGUGCAGCUGAGGCUUCCCAGAGUCAAAGGAAGGAAACUUCCCAGGAGGCUUUCCCCACCAGCAGAGCCUGUUCUUUCCAGGCUUUCCUCUCAACACAGCUGGCAUAGUUUGAUGUUAUCAGGGAUGACCUUGGCUGGAGAAGGGCCUUUGCUGUGCUCUGGAGUUUCCAGCAGGCUCAAAUCCACAUUCUCUCUGGCCUCAGAAAAUCAGCUCUGACCUGGCUGUCCUCUUCAUCUCCUCACUUUGCUCCUGUCUUCCCUGCACCAAGGCAUCCCAUCCCACCGUGGGCUGGCCGAGGGGACACAUCUGGAUCACGCAUCCAGCUGUGCCUGGCCAGAGCCACCUGACCUUGCGGCAUCAGGUCCGGAGCAGCCGCAGGAAGUCGAGGGGGUUUGGAAGUGGCAUUUCCCAGCCAACUUCCAGCCUGGCACAAAGUAGCGCAGCAAAAGCUCUGGAGGGCAGCUACGGCUGGAGCACCCUUGGUGAGAGGCAGAAUUCAGGGCUUGGGCGAGUCCCCUGCCAGGGUGGGUGUCCCAGGGCGAAAGCGGCGAUGCCAGGCUGUGCCGGAGGAGCCUCAGCUGAACGCAGUGCCGUGGGGCAGGGUCACCCCCAAUGUCCCCAUGCAGGGCCUGGUGGCCAGCAGGAUUGUCCCAGUGCCACCAGGUGGCAGCUCCUGUUCAGGGACCCGUCAGCACCGCGCCAUGGCUGGCACAUCCAGCUUUGGUCCAAGCUGCAUCCGAGGGCUGAGCGCAGCCCUGCAGCUGCCCACGCUGCAUCAGACUACUGUCCCCCGGUGUCCUUCCCUUUAUAACACCCGCCUGCCUGUAGGAUUUAUGGCCUGGGAGCUCCAUGGGGUGUGUAGGGACACGCACAGAAGAGGUUUGGUACCUGCAAGUGCCACUCUUGCAGCUACAAAGUGUGUGCAAAGGUGCAGCCUCGGCUUGGCAUGGUGCUGAAGGCAGCACAACUGGAGGGACCAACGGCAGCGUCGGGUCUGAUGUCCUGAGAGAUGCUUCAGACACAGCAACCUCUCCUUGUGCAUGGACAUGAUUCCCAGUGCCAGCCAGGAGCUCCGGGGUCUGCCAGAUUCAAACAGGGACGUCUGAUUUGGGGAUGAAAUACACAACUGUGCUUUAACAUGUCUGGAAGCUGCUGUUGCCUCAGCCCUGCUUUUUUGGGAAGCUAUUGGUGAGUACCAUGAGCCAUUAUUACAGCCACAUCCGACUCCUGGGCUUCCCCAGGAAUUAACAGCCUCUAAAUAUUCCCUGCCAGGUUGUGGGAAACAAAUCCACUUGUCACCCAGGAACUCUUGAGGUGUCACCUUCCUGGCAGGGCUUCGAAUCUUUUGUUUGGUUUCCACCUCUUCCCUUAUUGCGGUGUGGCUGCUGGCCUGCCUAGCAGAAGCAGGGGCUGUGUCCUGCUGCAUGUUCUCAUGCACGUAGCUCCUCGACUGGGGCAGGGGCUGAAGCAGGAGGAAGCGGACGGGCGCUUGCUGGGACGGGGAUGCCCCGUGGGGGCGAGCGGGCAGUGCAGAGCCCAUCUCGUCCCUGCUUCUGGUCAACCCUGUUCUCCGGAGCCUGGCUGUGCAGAGCAGGGUUGGGCUGACCAGGGGUGGGGAUGAGAUGGGCUCUGCACCAUGUCCCGGGGCUUGGGGUGCCUGCGAGCGCUGGCAGCCAAGACCAAACCCAACCAGGUGCCGGAGGGAGCCACUGCACGUGCCACACCUGGCUCCAAGGCAGCCUGGUGCCAUGCUGGCACAUCCAGAUUGUCAACCUUGUCUCUCUUGUUCCCAGGCAAGAAUCAGAGGCAACGAGCAGCCAGAGCUGGACACCAGCGCCCAGUUGCCCAGCCUGGAGCUGGUGCUUUCUCUGGAUGCAUCACGCUGAAGCAGCUGUGGCUGACCGGGCACCAUGGGAGCGCAGCAGAGCUCUGCCGCCCCUCCAGGGCAUAAUCCAGAGCCUCGCAGGUUGCAUCACGCCCGGCGGAGAGGAGAUGGCCUUCGGACUGUGUGUUUGGCUUAUCUGGGUCCCGGUCGACGGUCCGGGGCUGACCGACGGCUCCGCCGUGCGCAGCCGUCUCGGCGAUAAGAGCCGGGCUGGGCCCCAGCAGCGCCGGGGGGGGAGCGAGCCAACGGAAACCGCGCACAGCCACCGCAGCCGAGGUCCCAACCCGCCGCCUCGGCCCGUGGCUCGCCCCGUCCUGCCACACCGGCCCAAAGAUGGGGCACGGCAGCUCAGCGCCGCCGCACAGCCCCUGCCCCUGCCCCUGCCCCUGCCCUGGGGUUGCAGGCAAAGGCAGAGCCCAUCGCUGCGGUUGCCGGCGGGCGGUGCUGAGCUCAGCCUUGAGCAUCUCUGGUCCCGCCUGGGGUGCCGGGGUCCCCACGUCUAAGCAUCCUCCGUGUUGUCACUUACCUGCUCACCUUGGUUGCAGUAACGCCUACAAAUCCAAGCCGAGACCCUCGGGGAGCAUCCACAGCACCGCCCAGGCAGCCUUGGUGCGGGCCGGCGCUUUGCCUGACCCCGUUUCUGCGGGGAACCUGGCGAGAGGAGGCUUGGCCGAGGCGCUCCCGCUGCUCUCCCGCCCCAUCGGGAAGGGGCUGUGCGUCAGCCUCCCGAGACAUCUGCUGACAAAUUCUUCAUUAUGCCGUGGCCUUGCCUCCACAGGCAGCCAUAUGGCCCCAUGUUCUCCAGCGGGGCUGACACAGCAGCGCGUUCCCAGGUCCAGACUUUGCAUUUCAGGGAAAUUUCCUAUGAACAGAUUUUUGGCACUUUCUUAAAUGCACCUCUGACCCGUGCUGAACAAAUUAGGAUAUAUAAAUCCUCCAGGAGAUUUCUGGAGAACUCUUUCUCCCAGAUGGACAAUUCAUCAUGGCAAAGACCACAAGACUUUGCUCCACCAACCCAUAGCCAACAGCUAGCUGGUGCAAAAUGUGCUUAUUUUCAUCUUGCUUUCUCUAGCCAGGUGGAUGGCUUGGGUUUUGUUUCCAAGAAGUAAUCACUGGAAUAAAAAGCUCAGGCUAAAAA